This 727-nucleotide ribosomal RNA is filed under the name uncultured bacterium. Its description in RNAcentral is "bacterial SSU rRNA". It matches the Rfam family "Bacterial small subunit ribosomal RNA", at positions 61 to 784 of the family's 1533-position model. The record is from RNAcentral.
GUCGAGCGGCAGCGCGGGGGCCACCCUGGCGGCGAGCGGCGAACGGGCGAGGUACUUUCGGAACGUACCCUGACGUGGGGGAUAACACAUCGAAAGAUGUGCUAAUACCGCAUACGACCUGAGGGUGAAAGCGGGGGACCGAAAGGCCUCGCGCGACAGGAGCGGCCGAUAUCGGAUUAGCUAGUUGGUGGGGUAAAGGCUCACCAAGGCGACGAUCCGUAGCUGGUCUGAGAGGAUGAUCAGCCACACUGGAAUUGAGACACGGUCCAGACUCCUACGGGAGGCAGCAGUGGGGAAUUUUGGACAAUGGGGGCAACCCUGAUCCAGCCAUUCCGCGUGAGUGAAGAAGGCCUUCGGGUUGUAAAGCUCUUUCGGCAGGAACGAAACGGCGGGCUCUAACAUAGUCUGUCAAUGACGGUACCUGAAGAAGAAGCACCGGCUAACUACGUGCCAGCAGCCGCGGUAAUACGUAGGGUGCGAGCGUUAAUCGGAAUUACUGGGCGUAAAGCGUGCGCAGGCGGUUUCGUAAGACAGAUGUGAAAUCCCCGGGCUUAACCUGGGAACUGCGUUUGUGACUGCGAGACUUGAGUGUGGCAGAGGGGGGUGGAAUUCCACGUGUAGCAGUGAAAUGCGUAGAGAUGUGGAGGAACACCGAUGGCGAAGGCAGCCCCCUGGGUUAACACUGACGCUCAUGCACGAAAGCGUGGGGAGCAAACAGGAUUAGAUA